Molecule: long non-coding RNA, 874 nt
Organism: Syzygium oleosum
Lineage: Eukaryota; Viridiplantae; Streptophyta; Magnoliopsida; Myrtales; Myrtaceae
Exons: 2
Source: RefSeq, a predicted model, not a curated record
ACUGCUCAUGCAACAUUCAGGAUACAGAAUUCAUAUCACACAGAAUCGGGUACAGCAAUGUGAAGAAUCAGUAGGCUACCUUUGCAAAUUCUGCACGUUGGUCGUAGGCUGUGUAAUGCCAUGCCAUCCCUUUCUUGAGCAUCAACUCCUGUGCUUGGAGAUGGAGAAGAAUGAGGAAUUGUAGAGGAAAAAGUGGAACUGAGAAUGGAGUGGGAAUACAAAGCAGCUCAACAAACAUGCAGGGAUAGAAGAAAUUCGACAGACGAUGAGCGUGACUAUUCAUAUGCGAUCAGGACAACACACCGAUAUCCUGCGUCCACAAUGCUUUUGUGCAGUGCAUCUGCACGAAAGUAGUCCCUCUGAUCACGGGCUUCUGAUCUUUCGAGGGCUGAGAUCUGGACUUCUUGUGGGACCAAGCACGAUUCUCUCGGAUCGGAAGUGCUAACGUACACGGUGAUGGUGUCCCCAUCUGCCACAGCUCUUGCAUCCACCUGGUAAAAGUUUACUGAAGUUAUUCAGAAGAUUGUAUGACAGCUGUUUUCGAUGUGAACUUCACUCUGAAUCUAGGGAUCAUUUGUUCGUGGAUUGUACAGUUAAGGAACUCUGGGCUAAUGUUUGUAGAAGAUGUGCUGUGGUUACAUCUGUCCAGAUUUGGGAUAGUGAGUUCAAGUCUGAAUUCUCAAAACUUAAAGGGUACAGUCCUAUCAAAAUAUUCGAGGUAGUUUGGUGUGCCACGAUUUAUCAUACUUAGGCUUCCAGGAAUAGGACGAUACAUGUAGCUGGUUUUGUUCUUUGUAUCAGUGAUAUCUUGUCUAGAAUACAAAAUUGUGUGCUGUGUAGAUUUAAUGAUGUUAAGCUAGCAAAUUCCGUGUUG